AACCAAGGCAACGAUCGGUAGCCGGACUGAGAGGUUGAACGGCCACAUUGGGACUGAGACACGGCCCAGACUCCUACGGGAGGCAGCAGUGGGGAAUAUUGCACAAUGGGGGAAACCCUGAUGCAGCGACGCCGCGUGGAGGAAGAAGGUCUUCGGAUUGUAAACUCCUGUUGUUGAGGAAGAUAAUGACGGUACUCAACAAGGAAGUGACGGCUAACUACGUGCCAGCAGCCGCGGUAAAACGUAGGUCACAAGCGUUGUCCGGAAUUACUGGGUGUAAAGGGAGCGCAGGCGGGAAGACAAGUUGGAAGUGAAAUCUAUGGGCUCAACCCAUAAACUGCUUUCAAAACUGUUUUUCUUGAGUAGUGCAGAGGUAGGCGGAAUUCCCGGUGUAGCGGUGGAAUGCGUAGAUAUCGGGAGGAACACCAGUGGCGAAGGCGGCCUACUGGGCACCAACUGACGCUGAGGCUCGAAAGUGUGGGUAGCAAACAGGAUUAGAUACCCUGGUAGUCCACACCGUAAACGAUGAUUACUAGGUGUUGGAGGAUUGACCCCUUCAGUGCCGCAGUUAACACAAUAAGUAAUCCACCUGGGGAGUA
Molecule: ribosomal RNA, 599 nt
Filed under: uncultured bacterium
Lineage: Bacteria
Description: bacterial SSU rRNA
Rfam family: Bacterial small subunit ribosomal RNA
Source: RNAcentral